RNAcentral lists this ribosomal RNA (424 nucleotides) under uncultured bacterium. Its description in RNAcentral is "bacterial SSU rRNA". It matches the Rfam family "Bacterial small subunit ribosomal RNA", at positions 356 to 773 of the family's 1533-position model. The record is from RNAcentral.
AGGGAAUCUUCGGCAAUGGACGCAAGUCUGACCGAGCAACGCCGCGUGAGUGAGGAAGGGUUUCGGCUCGUAAAACUCUGUUGCCAGGGAAGAACGCAUGAGAGAGUAACUGCUCUUGUGGUGACGGUACCUGAGAAGAAAGCCCCGGCUAACUACGUGCCAGCAGCCGCGGUAAUACGUAGGGGGCAAGCGUUGUCCGGAAUUAUUGGGCGUAAAGCGCGCGCAGGCGGUUGUUUAAGUCUUGUGUUUAACCCGCGGGCUCAACCCGUGGUCGCAUAGGAAACUGGGCAACUGGAGUACAGGAGAGGAAAGUGGAAUUCCACGUGUAGCGGUGAAAUGCGUAGAGAUGUGGAGGAACACCAGUGGCGAAGGCGACUUUCUGGCCUGAAACUGACGCUGAGGCGCGAAAGCGUGGGGAGCAAAC